GACCCAAUAGCACAACGGUUAGUGCGCCUGCUAGCAUUUGACCGGGAACAAAUGCCGUAAGCGGGAGGUCCCUGUUCGAUUCGGGUUGGGCCA
Non-coding RNA from Mycena alexandri, 93 nucleotides. The record is from the annotation of a GenBank genome assembly. Lineage: Eukaryota; Fungi; Basidiomycota; Agaricomycetes; Agaricales; Mycenaceae.